AUGCUUGGAUGCUGUAAAACCAGCGUAGCAACCUGCUCUCACCAAGGCAUGGGGGAAAUUCCUGGACUUGGCCUGGAGCAGGAGGAAGUGGGUAGUCCACUGUCAAUGGCUUUAACAAGAGUUAAAACUGUAAAAAGCUCUAUUGCAAAUGGGCUAAUCAUGCAAAAUCCCUCCAAACAUGUCAUGAACCACAUGGUUUGUGGAACCUAUUCUAAUCUGUGCCAGGAAAUUACCGAGAUCCUGCUAGUGGAAGCAGGGAUCCAGGCAUUUCUGAGAUAAGGACUACCAUGGCUGUCAUGAUACUUUUCUCUUACUCUCUGGCCUGAUGUAGUUGCUGAAGUCCUCACAGACAGUAUUACAGUUUCUUAUGUGCCUUGUGUCAGCAGCAGAGACUGGAGCUUGCAGUGGAUAAGAGGAGAGCUCUGGCUCAGCCCUCUGCUCUCCGAGUUGUUAAUCCAACUGUUGCAAACCUCAGUAUGAACUGCUUCUCCUCAGCCUUUUACUUCCCUUCUGCUUGAGAAAAUUUCUUUGGCUGUUAAUUUAUUCAGAAGUUCCCUGGUGACCUUUCCAUUGGUUACUUUCGGAAGAAGUGGGCUGUUGUUGCUCUGGCAACUGGAACCAAAAAACAAUGCUCCAAUCAGAAGGCUUUGGGGGAAGAUUUUUGUGCUGGAGACAUUGCUGCAGGUGGGGUUGAAUUUUUGUGAAUUCUUGGACUCUGCAAAGAAACACUGGCAGGGCUUAUAAACAAAUAGUGGAUUGCUAACUCCUUGGAGCAGACACUAUGUACUUCAGGUACUCCAUAGGUCUGGGAGCUGCCUAGACAAUGGGCCUCAAUACUUAUUGAAAUCUCUGGUCACUACUGGAAUAUUAACUAUUAUUACACUCUUAUUUAUAACACUCCCAUGUGAGGUUACAGGGGGAUAAAUAAGACAAUUUAACGUAAUGAGUUUUCAUCACUGACAAUUUUGGUGCGCCUCACAGAGGGAAGAUUUUCUAAUAGAAAAGCUGCUUCAACAUAUUUCAUUCUCUAGAAUAGAGCGCAAUGCUCAUCCGAUAUCAGUGGGCAUGAGUUAUACUAUUACUGCUACUUUUGGUUUCUGCUAAUAUAACCCACACAAGGAGUGCGUGGUCUUUAAUCCCUUUCGGUGGCUGAUCCAUGUGAGACUAAUGAGCUUUCUAGAGGUGUUAGUUAGGGGACUUAGUCCUCUAGCUCAAACGAUACUGGCUCAUGCUUGUAGGCCUUGGGUUCAAAUCUAAUUUUUGGCUCAGGGCAGGUCAU
RNAcentral lists this long non-coding RNA (1279 nucleotides) under Chrysemys picta bellii (western painted turtle). Its description in RNAcentral is "lncRNA (ENSCPBG00000000787.1)". Lineage: Eukaryota; Metazoa; Chordata; Testudines; Emydidae. The record is from RNAcentral.